UACGGAGGGGGCUAGCGUUGUUCGGAAUUACUGGGCGUAAAGCGCACGUAGGCGGCUUUGUAAGUUAGAGGUGAAAGCCCGGGGCUCAACUCCGGAAUUGCCUUUAAGACUGCAUCGCUAGAAUUGUGGAGAGGUAAGUGGAAUUCCGAGUGUAGAGGUGAAAUUCGUAGAUAUUCGGAAGAACACCAGUGGCGAAGGCGACUUACUGGACACAUAUUGACGCUCAGGCACGAAAGCGUGGGGAGCAAAAGGG
This 253-nucleotide ribosomal RNA is filed under the name uncultured bacterium. RNAcentral's name for it is "partial 16S ribosomal RNA". It matches the Rfam family "Bacterial small subunit ribosomal RNA", at positions 524 to 776 of the family's 1533-position model. The record is from RNAcentral.